CGCAUGUUAACUUAUUUCCAAGACUCUGAUGUUUCUAACCUUUUAAAGAUUUCAGAGAAUUAAUGGGACACAUGAGAUUUUCACAGUCCUGGCCCUGCAGUCAUCCAAUUGGAGAAUGAGCCAAUCCUCUUUCGCAAGGGCAGUUAUCCCAGACAAGUUCAUGUUCCAAGAAGCCAGAUCAGUGUUUCCGGAGACCGUGGCAGAUACUUGGUGGCAUUGGGGUAAGGACGAUGAAUGGAGAAAAUGUGGUUGUCACCAUUACUGGAAUAUGGGUGUUGCAUUGGACUGAAGCCUCU
This 296-nucleotide long non-coding RNA is filed under the name Homo sapiens (human). RNAcentral's name for it is "HSALNT0070103". The record is from RNAcentral. Lineage: Eukaryota; Metazoa; Chordata; Mammalia; Primates; Hominidae.